GAUGAAGAACGUAGCGAAAUGCGAUAACUAAUGUGAAUUGCAGAAUUCAGUGAAUCAUCGAAUCUUUGAACGCACAUUGCGCCCCCUGGUAUUCCGGGGGGCAUGCCUGUUCGAGCGUCAUUACAACCCUCAAGCUCUGCUUGGUAUUGGGCCCCGCCAGUUCUGGCGGGCCCUAAAGUCAGUGGCGGUGCCUUCCGGCUCCGAGCGUAGUAAUUCUUCUCGCUCUGGAGACCCGGUUGUGUGCUUGCCAACAACCCCCAAUUUUUUAAGGUUGACCUCGGAUCAGGUAGGGAUACCCGCUGAACUUAAGCAUAUCAAUAAGCGGAGGA
RNAcentral lists this unclassified non-coding RNA (329 nucleotides) under soil metagenome. RNAcentral's name for it is "partial contains 5.8S ribosomal RNA, internal transcribed spacer 2, and large subunit ribosomal RNA". The stretch from base 1 to 120 matches the Rfam family "5.8S ribosomal RNA", at positions 35 to 154 of the family's 154-position model. The record is from RNAcentral.